CCGAGUUUAUCCAACUCCCAAACCCCUGUGAAAUUAUACCUUUAAUUGUUGCCUCGGGAUCAGGCCGGGACCCGUUAAACGGGACGGCCCGCCGCCGGGAUCCACAAAACCUUCUGAUUUUUUAUAGUAAUCUUCUGAGUGUUAAAAAAAAAAUGAAAUCA
Molecule: unclassified non-coding RNA, 161 nt
Filed under: soil metagenome
Description: partial internal transcribed spacer 1
Source: RNAcentral